RNAcentral lists this ribosomal RNA (253 nucleotides) under Chitinophagaceae bacterium. RNAcentral describes it as "partial 16S ribosomal RNA". It matches the Rfam family "Bacterial small subunit ribosomal RNA", at positions 524 to 776 of the family's 1533-position model. RNAcentral also lists the same sequence under 1 other name. The record is from RNAcentral. Lineage: Bacteria; Pseudomonadati; Bacteroidota; Chitinophagia; Chitinophagales; Chitinophagaceae.
GACGAAGGAUCCAAGCGUUAUCCGGAUUCAUUGGGUUUAAAGGGUGCGUAGGCGGGUUUGUAAGUCAGUGGUGAAAGCUAUCAGCUUAACUGAUAAAUUGCCAUUGAUACUGCAGACCUAGAAUAUAGAUGACGUUGGCGGAAUAUGACAUGUAGCGGUGAAAUGCAUAGAUAUGUCAUAGAACACCGAUUGCGAAGGCAGCUGACGAAACUAUAAUUGACGCUGAUGCACGAAAGUGCGGGGAUCAAACAGG